GGACGAACGCUGGCGGAGUGCUUAACACAUGCAAGUCGAGCGAUGAAGCACUGUCGGGUGUGAAUUAGCGUAUAACGGGUGAGGAACUCGUGAAGAAUCUGCGUUCAACUAUGGGAUAUCUCCGGGCAACCGAGGUUAAUACGGGAUGUGAGCAUCGAUAGCAUGAUUGGGGCUGGAAAGUUUUUCGUUAGAAGAUGAAUUCGCGGCGUAUCAGCUUGUUGGUGAGGUAAUGGCUCACCAAGUCGACGAGGGGUAGCAGCCACGAGAGGGCGACCGCCCGCUCUGGGAUUGAGACACGGCCCACACUCGUGAGGGAGGCACCAGUGGGGAAUAUUGGGCAAUGGCGGUAACUCUGCACCAGGGACGCCGCGUGAGGGAAGAAGGCUUUCGGGUGGUAAGCCUCUUUCAGUAGGGAAGAAGCGAAAGCGACGGUACCUACAGAAGAAGCACCGGCUAUAUAUGUGCCAGCACACGCGGUAAUACAUAGGGGGCACGCGUUGUCAUGAAUUAUUGGGGGUAAAGAGCUUGUACGGGGUUUGAUAUGUCGCAUGUGAAAAUCAGGGGCUCAACCCCUGGCAUGCAUACGAUACGGUCGAUAUAGAGUUUGGUAGGGGAGACGGGAAUUCUUGGUGUAGCGCUGGAAUGCGCAGAUAUCAGGAGGAACACCGAUGGGGAGGGCAGGUUUCCGGGCCAAUACUGACACUAUGGAGCGAAAGCGUGGGGAGCGCACACGAUUAGAUACCCCGGUAGUGCACGCCGUAAACGGUGGGCCAUAGUUGUGCGAGCUUUCCACGGUUGCGGGACGCAGCUAACGCAU
Molecule: ribosomal RNA, 817 nt
Filed under: uncultured bacterium
Lineage: Bacteria
Description: bacterial SSU rRNA
Rfam family: Bacterial small subunit ribosomal RNA
Source: RNAcentral